UACGAAGGGGGGCUAGCGUUGCUCGGAAUCACUGGGCGUAAAGCGCACGUAGGCGGGUUCUUAAGUCAGGGGUGAAAUCCUGGAGCUCAACUCCAGAACUGCCUUUGAUACUGGGAAUCUCGAGUCCGGGGAGAGGUGAGUGGAACUGCGAGUGUAGAGGUGAAAUUCGUAGAUAUUCGCAAGAACACCAGUGGCGAAGGCGGCUUACUGGUCCGGUUCUGACGCUGAGGCGCGAAAGCGUGGGGAGCAAACAGG
Molecule: ribosomal RNA, 255 nt
Filed under: uncultured bacterium
Lineage: Bacteria
Description: partial 16S ribosomal RNA
Rfam family: Bacterial small subunit ribosomal RNA
Source: RNAcentral